This 122-nucleotide ribosomal RNA is filed under the name Phascolarctos cinereus (koala). Lineage: Eukaryota; Metazoa; Chordata; Mammalia; Diprotodontia; Phascolarctidae. The record is from RNAcentral.
UUCUAUGUCCAUGGCACUCUGAAUAUGACUGGUUUCAUCUGAUCUUGGAAGAUAAUUAAGGAUAGGCCUGGUUAGUACCUAGAUGAGAGACAACCUGGGUACAGUGAGAGGCAACAUGAUAU